This 387-nucleotide long non-coding RNA is filed under the name Monodelphis domestica (gray short-tailed opossum). Its description in RNAcentral is "lncRNA (ENSMODG00000045659.1)". Lineage: Eukaryota; Metazoa; Chordata; Mammalia; Didelphimorphia; Didelphidae. The record is from RNAcentral.
AUGAAAACUUUAGACAAAUUUUCUCCUAAGGAUUGCUUUGGAAACAUUCUAAAAGUUUUGAUUUUCAGCAUCAUGUAGACACAGCUUCAGAUCCAGCCAAGUAGACCAGAAGAGUGUUCAAAAGACUGAAUAAUUUGGGGAAAGUUGCUAUUGCCAUCCUCAUUUGGAAAAAAUGAAGAUGAAGAACAAAGGACAGCUUGUCUCAAAUAAUUUAGAAAGUCAACAGUUGGGCUGUGGAGUUGAGUAAACUAAAUUUGCAUAAUUUGGAAGUCAUUGUAUAAAAACUAUUGCCAGAAAAAAGUCCCCCAACCCCUCCUUCCUCAGGAGCUUCUUUGAAAAAAGGCCACAAUGCAAAAUUAUAAUGGGGUUAAUGGUACUUGGAGAUUA